Long non-coding RNA from Bubalus bubalis (water buffalo), 5051 nucleotides. RefSeq lists it as uncharacterized. Lineage: Eukaryota; Metazoa; Chordata; Mammalia; Artiodactyla; Bovidae. The transcript is spliced from 2 exons. The record is from RefSeq and is a predicted model, not a curated record.
CUCAGAGUUGGGUGCCUUGACCCCGGGCUUUGCUCCUCUUACCCUGCCUUUGGGCCUGACAGAUCAGAUACCCUGCAUGAAAGCAGACCUGGGUAAGGAGGGCCGAGCAGCCUUCCAAUGAAGUAAAAAGAUAUUUCUGUUGACAAAUAUGUAAAACUUUAGAGCUAAAUGGUUAUGGAUGCUCUGGACUGCAAACUUCAGGAAUUACUAGAGCAGAAGAGUAAGACCUUAACAGGCUCUUGCAUUUAAAGACCCUGACACUGGGAAAGAAUGAGGAUAGGAGGAGGAGGGGACGACAGAGGCUGAGAUGGUUGGAUGGCAUCACCAAUUCAAUAGACAUGAGUUUGAGCAAACUCAGGGAGAUAGUGAAGGACAGAGAAGCCUGGCGUCCUGUAGUCCACGGGGUCACAAAGAGUCAGAUACGACUGAGUGGCUGAACAACCACAACAUUUUUUGAGCCCUGACCUGUGGCUGGUAUUGUGUAAGGCGAUUAAUAGAUAUCAUCACAUUUUACUCUUAAACAACCCCAUAAGGGUAGGUGCUGGAAAACAUGAGAUAACAGAGAGGUUAAGUAACUUCUCUGUAGUCACACAGUUAGUAUCUGAUGGAUUAGAGAUUCAUAUUCAUGUCUUUAAAACCCAAGCCUAAACUCAAGCCUAUUUAGCCAUUAUUCAUACUUCUUUUCAAAGCUGUGUUUUCUCAAGACAGCGAAUUCUUAGCUUCUGCAGGAGAAGUAACAGGGUAGUACUUUAGCAGCCUGACAUAGAAUGCGAUGCAUCUUAAUACCCUAAAUAUCCAUUAAGUUAGCAUCUGGACCCGAUUUGUCAUUUUCCUCCUUCCCGUCUCCCCACCCCAUCUAGUGCCCGUCCUCUUCCUGUCCUCAGCUGGGCCCACCAUUUCCCCUGUGAGCCUCCCUUCUCUCCACCCGACAAGCCCAAGACCCUUUCUUCACUCCCACUCCUUGGCUGUGAGUACGAGCAUUGCAUCUGUGUGUGGGUGAGCCCAAGGCAAAAAUGGAAGGAAUCAUGAGUUUGUCUUCAGGAUCUUUACCAACUCCUUUCCAUAUUCUCUACCUCACCCCACCCGGCUGAUCUUGGCGUCUCCCAAAAGUACACAGGGCCACGCUGUCUGUCUGUCUGCUGCCUUGCUGCCAUUCUGUUUCCAGGAGAAAGUAUCACAAGUGAGUUCAUCAUCUGUUGUAAAUAACUUGGGUGUGAACCACAGGAGGUGACCUCUCUCUGAAGCGUUUGUGCUUUGGCUCUGAGGGUAGGACAGGAAGGCGCCAUGAAUAGAGGGGUUUCCACCAGCCAUCACCAGAGUGGACACUCAGGAACCCACAUGUGGCCCCCUGGCAUUUCUGCCUAUGAAUUGUGAAUCCUGGUAGAAAAAUAGAGUCGGCUCCAAAAUUAGGAUAAAAUGAAGAAAGAGAGUAGUCAUUGGGCCCGUCGAGGCAGGCAAAGGAAAAGAAGAGUAUUGAGAACAGGGAAGAGAAGACCAGCCUCCUGGGUCACUCUUCACAAGUGUCUGAGUGGCUGUACCAGAAGGGUGACGGUGAGUGCCUAAACCCUUGUCUGUGGGAGCACUGAGAUAAACAACCAAGAAGAUGACCUUUGCAACUCUUUGCUUCCUCCUCCUUCAAGGAAAUGUAGAUAUUUCUUCGGCUGAAGGCUGGGCUUUGGCUCAGUCCAUGCUUCUGCUCUGAGUAGCUCAUGUUUGUAUGACGCCUCAUCGCUCACAGAGCGCAUUGUCAUUGGCUACGCCAUUUUGUCCUCCAAGUGCUAGCGGAGUGGAUUUUGUUUUACCCAUUUUACAGGUGAAGAAACUGAGGCCAAGACACAUUAAAAGAUGUAGAAUAUUUAGUCAAUGAGCAGGAGGACCCGGAGCCCAGGCUUCUGUUUCAGUGUACUCUUUCACUGCUGUGAACCACCACCAGGGGUGAAGGUCUUGAAUUGUGCAUUCAGUCUGUACUCUUGGGCGAGCAAACCUGUUUACUUGUAAACAUUUCUGUUUUAGAAAUAGAACUCCAGGACACUAGGAAGCACAAGUCCCAAGAUGUUAGUUGUUAUCCUUGUUAAAAGACCCAAUAUAAUGUUUUAUCACAAAACAGAUUUUUAUUUUUAAUUUAAGAAGCUUAUGGAGCACCCUCAUGGUAACUGUCCUUCUCAGUUAUGGACCUACUGGGGCCCAGAAUGCCCAUUUCCUCUUCUUCUAGUUGUUAGUGGUAAUUGGGCUCCCCGCUGUGCAUUGCUAAGAAGUUCCUUUUGUCCAUCCUAUAAACAGUUAUGAGCACCCAUGUGUUCAGGGUGCUGUACCAAGAAGGUGCAUUCUGGUGCUGCCCUGGUGGAAGCUGAUGUCUAGUGGGUGAGGCCGUCAUCCCCCAUAGGGUCACUGGGAAGUGUGACGGCUAGGGGUGCUGUGACUGGACAGGAAACUGGGCAGGCUUUGUGGAGGAACCAGCCCUUAUGCAAAGAGGUAGAGGAUCCAUAUGGGCCCGGAAGAGUAAGGAAGAAGAGCAUUCCAGAGGUGAUGACUCUGGUGUAGAUAAAGCAAGAGGUGAAAGCUAGUGAAUAGUUUAGAAAGGCAGGACCCACCAAGGCCUUGGAGUAGUGUCCAGAUAUGUGUGUUUGAUGUACAUCCAGAAUUAAGAGUCUGGCUGGUUCAACUAGAGUAGACCUUUUACUGAUGAAUGAAAGGCUUAACUCUGUAGAACUCAUGUAGAACAUGACUUCAGUGGUGACGAUGAUAAAUGUGGUUAACUAGAGAGUGCGUUUCCAGAGUAGCUGGGACAAAGGGUGUCACCCUGGAUCAGAAAACUAGGUUCUCCUCCUCCAGGCUUUGUUGCUCCUCAGGUGUGCAUUCCUGCCUGUGUCCUCCUGGGGGACCAUAUGGACAGAGAAGGUUCAGACCUGGCUGCACCCAUUGACAGCCACCUCUCUAAGCCUCCUCUAUAGAAAGAACUAGAAUUCCCUACCUCUUUGGGCUGUGAUAUGGAUGGAAAAAAUCACACUGUACCAUGCUCAUUAAUUUAUUUGUUUGGUCUUUGCCAGCACUACCCAUAGCCCUUUGAUUCCAGUGAGCCUGAGCUAUUACAGAGACGCAAGGGGAAAUGUGUGUACGUGUCUGUGUGCAGACAGAGAUUUGCAGGAUCCAAAGUCAGAUUUGUUUAGGACCCAUAACUAUUGAUCACUUUGUUGACUUCCUUAUCAAAUUAACCUGCUUAAUGUUUGAUGUUAAAUUUUAAGGAUAGCAUAUUUAUAUUUGCUUAAGUAAAUGUACCAGCUGAAUUUAUUUUAGACGUCUCUGAAAGUUUGAGAACCAACGAAACCAUUCCCAUACUCCACAUUUUUUCAGUGUGACCUUGGCCCUCAAGGGCCUUUACAUGUUCAUUGCAACAGCACCUUAUGUUUGCAAAAUAAAGCACAUAUUAUAUAAUUUGAGAAGCUGGUGCUUAGAAGACUUGUCAGAAUGCUUCAGAAAGUCUUGUGAAUUCUCUUCCAUUUCAAUUAGCUGUCUCUCUUAGUCCCAGUUAUUCUGGAAAUUCACUCUUGUUUACCACAUGUAUCACCACUCCCAACACUAAAGAUUCUUCACAGCUCUCUCACCCCUAUCAGUAGUCAUAUUGGCGAUAGCCUGCAUGAUGCAUUGUCUUACCAGCCCCGUGACACAGACUGCCCAGUGUUCAACCAAGAUUCAGAGCUAGAUGUGUUGAUUCCAGUAACCAAAAGUUGUUGGGUUCAUUUGCAUCUGAUGAGUACCUGUAGCCAGCCAGACUCUACAAGAAGCCAAGGGAAGACUAAUCCAGGAGAUGAGCGCCCCCUGCUGGCUCUGCAUCCUCUGUAAACCAGACAUUGCCCCUGAGUCAGUGGCUGUUUAUAUUGGUGGAGAACCAGCAAGUCAGUCCCUCUGUUACCUUUGGCUCCACUAGAACCUGAGAGAAAAACAGCAGAGGGUGAAGAAAGGAAGAUCUAAAAAACAAAGACUAUUUUGGAAGUGGUUAGUAAUGCUUAAAGACACACUUUCUAUAGGAUUUCCGUGUUGCGUUAUCAAAGGACUUGCAGUGUUAAGUGCGAGAUCUUCCACCUAGGGUGGGCUCUUUUGAAAGGGCCUCCUCACCUGUCAUCAGGGCCCAGUUCUGGGAGACCGACUUCAACAGCUGCAGCUUCAGAGAGAUGAAAACCCAGCCUUCGUGGGCUGUAAGCUGAAUCCCGAGUGUGCAUGAGGACUGGUUUUCCUGCUAAACCCUAGUUUUGAAGUUUGAAGUUUUAGUCACUCAGUCGUCUCUGACUCUUUGUGAGCCCACAGACUGUAGCCCACCAGGCUCCUCUGUCCAUGGAAUUCUCCAAGCAAGAAUACUGGACUAGGUUGCCAUUUCCUUCUCCAGGGGAUCUUCCCGCCCUAGGGAUUGAACCUGGGUCUCCUGCAUUGCCGGAGGAUUCUUUACCAUAUGAGCCACUAGGGAAAAUGUAGUGGGCUCCCUCUACCCGCUCCCUGGGGCAGAGCAGGUUCCUCCAGCUGCCCGGCAACUCAGCUACAUCUUCCAGGCAAAGGCAGUGUGUUUAAUGUCAACCGUGAUCUCGGAAGAGAGAGUGCGAGGAGUUCAGUUAGGUAGAGUUACACAGCCAGAGAAGGGCAGGCUUUGCGAUGGAGAGGGUGGGACAGGAGAUUGCUCUCUUUAGAUUUUGAAGAAGCACUGCCUUGGGGAAGAAGCAGAGUUCUGUGAUGUGGUCACAGGAACAGACCUGAGUAGGGAGUGCACACCUGAGCUCACUUAGAGAAAACCUCCCUGAGUUACAGCUAUCAGGGUAACCUCCAGCUCUUGCUGACCUGUGUCGUGAGCAUCACGUGCCGAGCAUUUGACCCAGAUACUGUUCUUACGUCCAGUCUCUCAGUAACAAAACGGAAGCUCGGGAACAUUAAGAAAUUAAAAAUUACUUAAAUGCAAAAACAGCUGCCCUUCAAAGCCUCGAGCUCCUCAAGCCCAGGCUGGAUGCAGCAGGGCCCUUCACCCUGGCGCAGCGAGUGAAAGAGGGUGAUCAGGACGUUUGGAGAAA